RNAcentral lists this long non-coding RNA (271 nucleotides) under Gossypium raimondii (Peruvian cotton). RNAcentral's name for it is "long non-coding RNA (GRAI_LNC006417)". Lineage: Eukaryota; Viridiplantae; Streptophyta; Magnoliopsida; Malvales; Malvaceae. The record is from RNAcentral.
CUAAACUUACCAGAACACACACUAAGAACACCAACAGCAAUUGAGCAACACCAAACCGGAAAGUGCCAAAGACGAAAGAGAGGAAAAAAACAAAGGAAAAUCAGCAAAAAGAAAAUCGACAGGGCAUUAGGAGAAUUGAAACGUCUAAAAUUUUGGAAAAAACUGAAAAAGAAUUGAAAAAAAGAAAAAUCCCAAUUGAUAACCCCCAAAUUCCUUAAUUUUCUACUAUUAUCACUCCACAACAACAACCUCCCCAAAUCCCAAUAUUCUC